This 73-nucleotide transfer RNA is filed under the name Chloroflexota bacterium. RNAcentral's name for it is "Chloroflexi bacterium (anaerobic digester metagenome) tRNA-Thr". It matches the Rfam family "tRNA". From Rfam's summary of the family: Transfer RNA (tRNA) molecules are approximately 80 nucleotides in length. Their secondary structure includes four short double-helical elements and three loops (D, anti-codon, and T loops). The record is from RNAcentral. Lineage: Bacteria; Bacillati; Chloroflexota.
GCCGUUGUAGCUCAGCCGGUAGAGCGGCGCACUCGUAAUGCGCAGGUCGAGAGUUCGAGUCUCUCCAACGGCU